RNAcentral lists this ribosomal RNA (449 nucleotides) under uncultured bacterium. Its description in RNAcentral is "bacterial SSU rRNA". It matches the Rfam family "Bacterial small subunit ribosomal RNA", at positions 355 to 796 of the family's 1533-position model. The record is from RNAcentral.
UCGAGAAUCAUUCGCAAUGGGCGAAAGCCUGACGAUGCGACGCCGAGUGAGCGAUGAAGGCCUUAGGGUUGUAAAGCUCUUUCGCCUGGGAACAAGGGAUGCCGGCUAAUAUCCGGCGGACUUGAGGGUACCAGGAAAAGAAGCACCGGCUAACUCCGUGCCAGCAGCUGCGGUAAUACGGAGGGUGCAAGCAUUAAUCGGAUUUAUUGGGCGUAAAGGGCGCGUAGGCGGAAGGGAAAGUCAGAUGUGAAAUCCCGGGGCUCAACCUCGGAACUGCAUUUGAAACUUCCCAUCUAGAGGGUAGGAGGAGAAAACGGAAUUCCACAAGUAGCGGUGAAAUGCGUAGAUAUGUGGAAGAACACCGGUGGCGAAGGCGGUUUUCUAUCUUAUUCCUGACGCUGAGGCGCGAAAGCAAGGGGAUCAAACAGGAUUAGAUACCCGCGUAGUCC